This is a small nuclear RNA of Cebus imitator (Panamanian white-faced capuchin), 106 nucleotides long. NCBI's taxonomy places the organism in Eukaryota, Metazoa, Chordata, Mammalia, Primates, Cebidae. The record is from Ensembl.
GCACUCCUUCCACAGCACAUAUACUAAAAAUUGUAGCGAUACAGAGAAGAUCAGCAUGGCCCUGUGCCAGGCUGACACGCUGGCGCAGGUGGGGUGCAGUGGCUCA